This 218-nucleotide unclassified non-coding RNA is filed under the name Hevea brasiliensis (rubber tree). The record is from RNAcentral. Lineage: Eukaryota; Viridiplantae; Streptophyta; Magnoliopsida; Malpighiales; Euphorbiaceae.
AAAUGUCUGAACGCGGAAACCGUGUGCUGACAAAAGGCGAUCGAGACUCUGCAGUAUGCUCGAAUCGUCAUCAACGAUAGCUAUAGUGCGUAUGCUGUUGCUCAUCAAUCUGAACCGGCCCGAAGGCGGUCUUUCUUAUCGCGGUAUUGCGUCUCGUCAUUAGCUUAUUCGCUUCCAGGCGACUAAAUAGCAUGAAUGAGCAUGAUGAUCGAAGAUAA